AACGCACAUUGCGCCCUGUGGUAUUCCGCAGGGCAUGCCUGUUCGAGCGUCAGUACAACACUCAAGCCUAGCUUGGUCUUGGGCCUCGCCGGAGACGGCGGGCCUUAAAAGCAGUGGCGGCGCCUGUUAGGCCCUACGCGUAGUAAUUCACCUCGCGACAGGGACCCAGCAGACGCUGGCCAGCAACCCCCAACUUUCUACGUUUGACCUCGGAUCAGGUAGGGAUACCCGCUGAACUUAA
RNAcentral lists this unclassified non-coding RNA (241 nucleotides) under uncultured fungus. RNAcentral describes it as "partial contains 5.8S ribosomal RNA, internal transcribed spacer 2, and large subunit ribosomal RNA". The stretch from base 1 to 52 matches the Rfam family "5.8S ribosomal RNA", at positions 103 to 154 of the family's 154-position model. The record is from RNAcentral. Lineage: Eukaryota; Fungi.